UACGGAGGGGGCUAGCGUUGUUCGGAAUUACUGGGCGUAAAGCGCGCGUAGGCAGACCUGCAAGUCGGGGGUGAAAGCCCGAGGCUCAACCUCGGAACUGCCUUCGAUACUGCGGGUCUCGAGUCCGGGAGAGGUGAGUGGAAUUCCUAGUGUAGAGGUGAAAUUCGUAGAUAUCAGGAAGAACACCUAUGGCGAAGGCAGCUCUCUGGGACGGUACUGACGCUGAGACGCGAAAGCGUGGGGAGCGAACAGG
This 253-nucleotide ribosomal RNA is filed under the name uncultured bacterium. RNAcentral describes it as "partial 16S ribosomal RNA". It matches the Rfam family "Bacterial small subunit ribosomal RNA", at positions 524 to 776 of the family's 1533-position model. The record is from RNAcentral.